GCUCUGUGGGAUCAGUGGCGAACGGGUGAGUAACACGUGAGCAACCUACCCCUGACUCUGGGAUAAGCGCUGGAAACGGCGUCUAAUACUGGAUACGAGUGGCGACCGCAUGGUCAGCUACUGGAAAGAUUUAUUGGUUGGGGAUGGGCUCGCGGCCUAUCAGCUUGUUGGUGAGGUAAUGGCUCACCAAGGCGUCGACGGGUAGCCGGCCUGAGAGGGUGACCGGCCACACUGGGACUGAGACACGGCCCAGACUCCUACGGGAGGCAGCAGUGGGGAAUAUUGCACAAUGGGCGCAAGCCUGAUGCAGCAACGCCGCGUGAGGGAUGACGGCCUUCGGGUUGUAAACCUCUUUUAGCAGGGAAGAAGCGAAAGUGACGGUACCUGCAGAAAAAGCGCCGGCUAACUACGUGCCAGCAGCCGCGGUAAUACGUAGGGCGCAAGCGUUAUCCGGAAUUAUUGGGCGUAAAGAGCUCGUAGGCGGUUUGUCGCGUCUGCUGUGAAAUCCGGAGGCUCAACCUCCGGCCUGCAGUGGGUACGGGCAGACUAGAGUGCGGUAGGGGAGAUUGGAAUUCCUGGUGUAGCGGUGGAAUGCGCAGAUAUCAGGAGGAACACCGAUGGCGAAGGCAGAUCUCUGGGCCGUAACUGACGCUGAGGAGCGAAAGGGUGGGGAGCAAACAGGCUUAGAUACCCUGGUAGUCCACCCCGUAAACGUUGGGAACUAGUUGUGGGGUCCAUUCCACGGAUUCCGUGACGCAGCUAACGCAUUAAGUUCCCCGCCUGGGGAGUACGGCCGCAAGGCUAAAACUCAAAGGAAUUGACGGGGACCCGCACAAGCGGCGGAGCAUGCGGAUUAAUUCGAUGCAACGCGAAGAACCUUACCAAGGCUUGACAUAUACGAGAACGGGCCAGAAAUGGUCAACUCUUUGGACACUCGUAAACAGGUGGUGCAUGGUUGUCGUCAGCUCGUGUCGUGAGAUGUUGGGUUAAGUCCCGCAACGAGCGCAACCCUCGUUCUAUGUUGCCAGCACGUAAUGGUGGGAACUCAUG
Molecule: ribosomal RNA, 1050 nt
Filed under: Microbacterium phyllosphaerae
Lineage: Bacteria; Bacillati; Actinomycetota; Actinomycetes; Micrococcales; Microbacteriaceae
Description: bacterial SSU rRNA
Rfam family: Bacterial small subunit ribosomal RNA
Source: RNAcentral